UAAGCAUAUCAAUAAGCGGAGGAAAAGAAACCAACAGGGAUUGCCCUAGUAACGGCGAGUGAAGCGGCAAUAGCUCAAAUUUGAAAUCUGGCUCUUUCAGAGUCCGAGUUGUAAUUUGCAGAGGGCGCUUUGGCAUUGGCAGCGGUCCAAGUUCUUUGGAACAGGACGUCACAGAGGGUGAGAAUCCCGUACGUGGUCGCUAGCCUUUGCCGUGUAAAGCCCCUUCGACGAGUCGAGUUGUUUGGGAAUGCAGCUCUAAAUGGGAGGUAAAUUUCUUCUAAAGCUAAAUACUGGCCAGAGACCGAUAGCGCACAAGUAGAGUGAUCGAAAGAUGAAAAGCACUUUGGAAAGAGAGUCAAAUAGCACGUGAAAUUGUUGAAAGGGAAGCGCUUGCAGCCAGACUUGCCUGUAGUUGCUUAUCUGGACUUUUGUCCAGUGCACUCUUCUGCGGGCAGGCCAGCAUCAGUUUGGGCGGUUGGAUAAAGGUCUCUGUCAUGUACCUCUCUUCGGGGAGGCCUUAUAGGGGAGACGACAUGCAACCAGCCUGGACUGAGGUCCGCGCAUCUGCUAGGAUGCUGGCGUAAUGGCUGUAAGCGGCCCGUCUUGAAACACGGACCAAGGAGUCUAACAUCUAUGCGAGUGUUUGGGUGUCAAGCCCAGACGCGUAAUGAAAGUGAACGGAGGUGGGAACCCUUUGGGUGCACCAUCGACCGAUCCUGAUGUCUUCGGAAGGAUUUGAGUAAGAGCAUGGCUGUUGGGACCCGAAAGAUGGUGAACUAUGCUUGAAUAGGGUGAAGCCAGAGGAAACUCUGGUGGAGGCUCGCAGCGGUUCUGACGUGCAAAUCGAUCGUCAAAUUUGGGCAUAGGGGCGAAAGACUAAUCGAACUAUCUAGUAGCUGGUUCCUGC
Molecule: ribosomal RNA, 907 nt
Filed under: Coniothyrium concentricum
Lineage: Eukaryota; Fungi; Ascomycota; Dothideomycetes; Pleosporales; Coniothyriaceae
Description: LSU rRNA
Rfam family: Eukaryotic large subunit ribosomal RNA
Source: RNAcentral